Molecule: non-coding RNA, 1312 nt
Organism: Salmo salar (Atlantic salmon)
Lineage: Eukaryota; Metazoa; Chordata; Actinopteri; Salmoniformes; Salmonidae
Source: RefSeq, a predicted model, not a curated record
CUCGGCGUUAGUUAAACUGCAGUACCGCCAGUCUCCUCUGGGUACAUGGGAUGGCGUACUUCCCAACCGGAACCCUGGCCCCAAAACGUGAUGACUUCAAAUCCGCUUCGAUUUCCGUUUCAUUGACAUACGGGAACAGGAACCACAACAGUAGCUGGCUGGUGGCCCAAAACAUUGAGAAAAAUCUCACUUUCAAAGGGCUUGUGCCUGAGUCCGACCUCCGUGGAUGGAAGUGGAGAUUGCGUUGGAGAUGGGUCCUGAGAGAAUCUUACCGAACUCUGAGGAGGAGCUAGGUCAGGAGCGGCCGUCGGACGCCGGGGUGCCUGAGGUGGGCGGGGGGUGGAGUGGAGAGGACGAGGGCGGUGUGGGAGACGAGGAUGAUAAUGGAGGUUACUAUUACCAGCCACUAAACCAGGACCCUGAUGGACUAAAUGCUGCACCAGGGGACCAUCCUGAGGAUAUGCCCCCAGUAGCAGAGCAACUGCAAGAAGUCCAGGAGAGAAUAGAGUCGAUGGGCUUGCAUCUUCCCCAGCCCCCUCCCCCAGACAGUGAUGAGGACCCAGAAGGAGCACAGUGCAGCACAGUCUCCAUCCCCAUGGAUGAAGACCACGUGGAGCUGGUGAAGAGGACCAUGGCAGCGGUGGCCCUGCCCUCUCUGGCCAUCCCAGCCUGGGCUCAGGAGAUCUCAGACGACCAGUGGAAGGACAUGGUCCAGCAGACGCUCCAGACUCGCCAAAGCUCAGAAGGCCUGAGGCUAGAGCGCAAAUAAGACUGAAUUGCCUCCUUCCCUCAGUCUGUCUGUAACUCUGCCCUGCAUUUCACCAACACACUUACCCGAGGUCCUCUCUGAGCCGAGGUCCUCUCUGAGCCGAGGUCUUAGGUGUCUCACUUCUCAAAAGAUUGAACUCCUCUACGUCCAAGUCUUAUUAGAUGAUAUCUCUGAUGAAUAUUUGUUUUUCAAAGUAGGCUCUUGGUACCUACUACACCUAACCUGCUGCUUAAGGUCAUUUGUAGGGUUUAAGGUGAAGGAGUUCGAAUGACUAUAGUAUAUUUUGUCUCUCAGAUCAGGCAAACUCUUACGGUUUCUGCUCUGGAAGAACUUGUGCACUGGAGUACAUAUGAGGCUGAAUGACAGAUAAAGCCAGUUGGCCUUGAGUACAGAAGCACUAUUAUCCCCCCCCCACAAAAAAAGCUUCCUGAGACAUUCCAGUGUAUAGUCAUACCAUCCUUUCCAACACCAGAUCGCCUUUGUUUUGUUUUUAAUGUGAUUCCCAUAUUGUAAUACUAUUAAAUCAGUCUUUGUUGAACGUAA